CGCUUUUAAUCACGUGACUUUGUAUAAAAGGGGAACACGUGAGCUCUCCUCCAUCGUGUUACUUUCUUUCUGAAGGUGAAAUCUCCUGCUAUCGUAAGCCGCCGGCCUCUACUCAACCAGAAGAUGUCAACCGUGUCUGCUGCCAGCUUGGAGGCUCCUGCUGUGACUGAGGCCGCUGAGCAGAAGAAGCCACUGAAGGCGUGCUGCGCUUGUCCGGAGACUAAGAAAGUCAGAGAUGCUUGCAUCAUUGAGAAGGGAGCGGAAAGCUGCACAGACCUGAUCGACGCACACAAAGAUUGCAUGAGGGCGCUUGGCUUCAAGAUUUAACUACUCUAUUUUGUGUGUG
Eleginops maclovinus (Patagonian blennie) is the source of this 346-nucleotide long non-coding RNA. RefSeq lists it as uncharacterized. Lineage: Eukaryota; Metazoa; Chordata; Actinopteri; Perciformes; Eleginopidae. The transcript has 3 exons. The record is from RefSeq and is a predicted model, not a curated record.